AUGGGCAUUUUCUCGCCGCCGUUCCCGUCCCCUUGCCCAGCAGCGCUCGGUAACGGGACGGCGCCAGGGGGCUGCUCGGGGACCGCGGGGCUGCUCGGGGGGCGCCCCGCGGUGCCUGUCCCGGCCCCCCCCGGCCCCGCCGCGAUUUUCCCCCGAGCGGAGCCGCGGAGAAACUUCCCGGGGCCGGCGCGGGGAGCAGCGGAGGCAGCUUUGGGGGGGGGAUCAGCGAACUGCCCGGCGGCACCCGGCCUCCUCCCCUCCCUUCUUUUUUUUUGGUUUUGUUUUAUUUUGAUUUUUUUCCUUCGUUUUCAAACUCCCGAACCGCGCACGGGCAUCGAGAGCCCGGCGACGCCAGGCUGCGGCCUCCCGGUCCCCGCGGGGGCUGCGGGCACCCCCGGCACGGCCCCGGCCGCCCCCCGCAGCAGCGGGGCCGGGCCCGGAGGCUCUGCCCGGUGCCAGGAACAGCGGCUACGGCGCUCGGCGGACACGGAGGCACCGCAGGGCGGCUUCUUUCCCCCGUGCAGCGGCCCCGUGCCAGCAGCCCGGCUCUGGGCAGGCUCCGUGGCCGUGCGCCGCGCCGGGUCUGCUGCAGGGAGCUCGGCAGAGGUGUUUCAGCCGAGGGGAGCUCCUGCCGAGGGGUGUCCCCGCCGAGGGGUGCUCCUCCCGGGGAGCUCCCCACUACCCCUUCGUGCCGGAUCGAUGCCGAGGGUAAACUCGGCCCCGUCGCCCCGCUCCGGGCCCUUCCCGUCGGGUUCUGCCCCCUCCGCACGCCGCUGCCGUCGGUGCCAGCCGAGGCUCCCGCAUCGCUCACGGCGAACACGGUUAAUAAAGAAUUACAGAGCCGUGUGCGCCUCAGCGAGAGCUGCCGGGGAGCCCCGGGAAUGGGUCCCGAGCCCCGGUGGGUCCCGGCGGUGCCGUGGGGCCGGGGGGGUCCCGGCGGGACCGGCUGCCGGGGAGCGGGCGGGCGGCAGCUGGGUGGGCUCGUGCGGGCUGCCGGACAGAGAAAGGGCAGAUAAAAGGCGAAUAAAAGAGAAAAGGAAGAAAAGUAAAGAGGUGGCGGGGACGAGGAGGGGGAGACUAUAA
This 1083-nucleotide long non-coding RNA is filed under the name Anas zonorhyncha (Eastern spot-billed duck). RNAcentral describes it as "lncRNA (ENSAZOG00000007176.1)". The record is from RNAcentral. Lineage: Eukaryota; Metazoa; Chordata; Aves; Anseriformes; Anatidae.